Molecule: ribosomal RNA, 301 nt
Filed under: uncultured bacterium
Lineage: Bacteria
Description: partial 16S ribosomal RNA
Rfam family: Bacterial small subunit ribosomal RNA
Source: RNAcentral
CAGUCGCCGCGGUAAUACGAAGGGGGCUAGCGUUGUUCGGAAUUACUGGGCGUAAAGGGCGCGUAGGCGGCCAUUCAAGUUAGGCGUGAAAGCCCUGGGCUCAACCUAGGAAUUGCGCUUGAUACUGUUUGGCUUGAGUUCGGGAGAGGUGAGUGGAAUUCCCAGUGUAGAGGUGAAAUUCGUAGAUAUUGGGAAGAACACCAGUGGCGAAGGCGGCUCACUGGACCGACACUGACGCUGAGGCGCGAAAGCGUGGGGAGCAAACAGGAUUAGAUACCCCUGUAGUCCCUGUCUCUUAUAA